Notolabrus celidotus (New Zealand spotty) is the source of this 1232-nucleotide long non-coding RNA. RefSeq lists it as uncharacterized. The record is from RefSeq and is a predicted model, not a curated record. Lineage: Eukaryota; Metazoa; Chordata; Actinopteri; Labriformes; Labridae. The transcript has 2 exons.
UGGAUGGAUGGAUGGAUGGAUGUAGAAUUGAUAUAGUCUGGGAAAAACUAAGCAGCAUCCUCCAAAAAAUUGAAAUGAAGCCAAGUGUUCAAAAGUGAAGGAAUCCUCACUGGCACCUAUGUUCUCAAAGCCUGCCUCAGCUCCAUCUCCUCACCUGCUUCUAGGUCGAUCAAAGGGAAAAGUCCUGCGCUCAGAGGUCAGAGCACAUUGGUGAUGUAGGUGUGGAUGCUAGCAUAUUGAUGGAUUGCGAUUACACCACCAUAAGAACUUAACGCAAUGCAUGCAAGACUACGUAAGGAUGUGAUCAGGCAGGUCGGAUUACAUUCAGAUCCUUACCCAUUCGUGCAUUAACGUGUUUUCUUACAAUCAAGAUACCGUGUUAUGAUACAGAUCACCUUCAGAUACAAGGUGAAGAUGAGGCUCUACAGUCACCAGCUUUGUAAAGGACAAUUGAGGGGUCACUGAUAAGCCGUUUGUCUUUGUGACGUAGAGUUUGGUACCAGAAAAGCCCUGCAACUGCUCAAGUUCAUCAUAAGACUCGGCAUGACUGUCGCUUUUAGUAUAUUAUGUGAUCACACACACCACUGAUAUAUUCUUUACUGUAAAGCAGAACUAGGACGUCGUAGGAACCUUGGCAGUGAGGUUGCAAAAUGCUUUUGAGGAGGAUUAAGAAACAGACAUUGAAAAGAGGAAGUGGGGGUCAUAAAGGAGUGUAAAUAAAGGAAGCUAUCCUCGUCUGAAUGAGAGAGGUUGUUUUCUUCACCAGGACAUCAUUCCAAUGAAGACAUGAUGCCAUAAAUAAAUGUUCUUUUCUUUGUUCCUUAUGUAGUCUGUGUGAAAUAAAGGCCAAGAUAGAAGUAAAAACAUCAUUAAAGUCAUGUUAAAGUAAGUAUAGAGUAUAUUCUCUGUGAACAUCCCUGUGUCUUACAAAGAGAUGCAAGAGUAGAUUAUUAGGAGAGGGAUUUAGGUCUUUCUUCGGGAGCUUGAUGUGACCGUAUGCAAAGAGUAACUGUCAAUUUAUUUCUUACAGGAAAUACUCUCAAGGAUUAUUGAUUAGCAGUAUCACAGCAGGCCCUGUGGUCGCACUACCUGUUGCAGCUCUGGCACUUAUAACAAUGCAUGCUUGCCUUGAGAAGUGCUAUUCCACAGUUGUUUCUCUUUUUUUAUCAUAUGAGGGUUUCUUUGUCUUGGUAAGAUGAGAAUCAGGCAAAUAAAUGUGUAAAUGAAUCUUA